GACAGAGGUUGCAAACGUUGUUCGGAAUUACUGGGCAUAAAGCGCACGUAGGCGGUUCGUUAAGUCAUGUGUGAAUCCCUCGGCUCAACCGAGGAAUUGCGCCUGAUACUGGCGAGCUAGAGAUCGAUAGGGGUGAGUGGAACUCCAGGUGGAGCGGUGAAAUGCGUAGAUAUCUGGAGGAACACCGGUGGCGAAAGCGGCUCACUGGAUCGAUACUGACGCUGAGGUGCGAAAGCUAGGGUAGCAAACGGGG
RNAcentral lists this ribosomal RNA (253 nucleotides) under uncultured bacterium. RNAcentral's name for it is "partial 16S ribosomal RNA". It matches the Rfam family "Bacterial small subunit ribosomal RNA", at positions 524 to 777 of the family's 1533-position model. The record is from RNAcentral.